Molecule: ribosomal RNA, 253 nt
Filed under: uncultured bacterium
Lineage: Bacteria
Description: partial 16S ribosomal RNA
Rfam family: Bacterial small subunit ribosomal RNA
Source: RNAcentral
UACGUAGGUCCCGAGCGUUAUCCGGAUUUAUUGGGCGUAAAGCGUCCGUAGCCGGUUUUGUAAGUCUGUGUUUAAAUAUCUUGGCUCAACCAAGAAAAGGGCAUAGAUACUGCAUCACUAGAGGCUGUUAGAGGUUAGUGGAAUUUCCGGUGGAGCGGUGAAAUGCGUUGAUAUCGGAAGGAACGCCAAAAGCGAAAGCAGCUAACUAUAACAAACCUGACGGUAAGGGACGAAAGUAUGGGUAGCAAACGGG